CGGCCAUUCGGCAUUCCUCAGCUGUGAAUUCUUUGUUUAGCUCUGAACCCCAUUUUUUAAUAGGGUUAUUUGUUUCCCUGCGGUCUAACUUCUUGAGUUCUUUGUAUAUUUUGGAUAUAAGGCCUCUAUCUGUUGUAGGAUUGGUAAAGAUCUUUUCCCAAUCUGUUGGUUGCCGUUUUGUCCUAACGACAGUGUCCUUUGCCUUACAGAAGCUUUGCAGUUUUAUGAGAUCCCAUUUGUCGAUUCUUGAUCUUAGAGCAUAAGCCAUUGGUGUUUUGUUCAGGAAAUUUUUUCCAGCGCCCAUGUGUUCCAGAUGCUUCCCUAGUUUUUCUUCUAUUAGUUUGAGUGUGUCUGCUUUGAUGUGGACGUCCUUGAUCCACUUGGACUUAAGCUUUGUACAGGGUGAUAAGCAUGGAUCGAUCUGCAUUCUUCUACAUGUUGCCCUCCAGUUGAACCAGCACCAUUUGCUGAAAAUGCUAUCUUUUUUCCAUUGGAUGGUUUUGGCUCCUUUGUCAAAAAGCAAGUGACCAUAGCAGUUGGUGCAGAUUAGCUAGCCCUGAAGAAUUGGCUACCAUUCACAGAAGUAUCAUAGAGGUGAGAUUUUCUUAAAAGUGUUUCCUUGAGGUCAAUAUACAGAAGGUGUGAUCUGGAUGUAGUUAAGGCUAUCUCAAAUUGGAAGUUGAACUUGGUAAUGUGUAAGAGUCUAUCACAUGGUACUGGUUUUGGCAAUAUAAAUCCUGAGUUUUCAAAGAUUCAUCAGGAGCAGCUAAGGCAUGGCACCACGUGGUAAAAUCAGAGUUCCUGAGAAGAGGCCAGGAGGUCAUUGUAGGUCCUCAGAAUAAAGGAGAUAUGUAGGCAUAUAUUUUUCCCAAACUACUUUACUAAGCAUUCAACCUCCCCUCUAGCCCACCACCCACCAGAGGUGGUGGAAAAGAAAGGUUAUUUGGACACACAGGAAGUCCACUUGGCAGUCACCACACAGGAACCAACAAGGGCAGCUCAGUGUACAAGAACCCAUAAGACUCGCCAUCUGGCCAAAGACUAAGGAAGAAGCAAGAAGCCUCAGGAACCUCAGGGAAAGUUCUAAGCCUAGUUUUUCUCUAUGUUCCCACAGGCAGAGCUCAGCAACACAGGGUAAAGUAAAACCAGUGCAUGCAUAUCACUAUUGAAGAAUAGAAAGGUGGAGCAAAGCAAGCCAAUGCUUAAGUUCCCACUGUCUAUGGCACCAUGCUUUUAUUCUUCCUGAACAUUGUGUGUCCUUUAACAUGGUUGCUAUAGCAGAGUUUCUGUGUCUUUUUCAGAAAAUAAAUUCCUUCAUGUGUCUGCUUUAGCAAAACCACAUUUGACCUGUGUUCCCCCAGUAACAUAUCACUUGUCAUAACUGACUUUCCAAAGAUCUCAGAAGUUUUCACUUCAGAGAUAUCAUGACAGUGCAGUGAUUACAAAGACAGGGUAGCUUAAGAGUGCAGCUAUCCCAAGAUUGUGAGGUAAGUUGUGUGUGUUGAUGUGGCAGACUGAGGAAAGUGUAGCUCCACAAGGUCUUUGAUGUUCAGAAGGUCGUGAAUUCUGUAUGUCAGAUACUGAGCUAUUUACAUUGUCACAUUUCAGUUUUGCUUUUAUCUGAUUAUAAUUAUGCAUUGUUUUCCCCUUUUGAAAUAAGAUUUGACUAAUUAUGAAUUUUAUAGGACCC
Rattus norvegicus (Norway rat) is the source of this 1690-nucleotide long non-coding RNA. NCBI's taxonomy places the organism in Eukaryota, Metazoa, Chordata, Mammalia, Rodentia, Muridae. The record is from Ensembl.